Molecule: small RNA, 2617 nt
Filed under: Pan troglodytes (chimpanzee)
Lineage: Eukaryota; Metazoa; Chordata; Mammalia; Primates; Hominidae
Description: processed transcript
Source: RNAcentral
GUGUAGCAGGAGGUGGUUGGGGCUGAGGAAAGUGGUGGAGGUGGGGCGGGGCUCAGAUGUGUAGCGGGAGGUGGUGGGGCCUGAGGAGGGCGGCGAGAGGUGGGGUGGGGCCCAGCAGCUGCUCCAAGCUUUUCUGCCAUUUGAAGCUUCUUCUGGGAGCCAGCUGUGACCAGAGGAAUAGCUCCAGCCAUCCGGAUAUACAGUCUUGCUACGUUGCCCAGGCUGGUCAUGAACUCCUGGACUCAAGCAAUUCUCCCACCUCAGCCUGUAAAGUACUGGAAUUGUAGGCAUGAGCCACUCUGCCUGGCCAAUAAUUUAACAACCGGAACAGCUCCAGUCUGCAGCUCCCAGCGUGAUCGACGCAGAAGACAGGUGAUUUCUGCAUUUCUGACUGAGGUACCUGAUUCAUCUCACUGGGACUGGUUUGACAGUGGGUGCAGCCCACAGAGGGGGAGCUGAAGCAGGGCAGGGUGUCACCUCACCCUGGAAGUGCAAGGGGUCAGGGGAUUUCCCUUUCCUAGCCAAGGGAAGCCGUGACAGACUACCUGGAAAAAUGGGACACUCCUGCCCAAAUACUGCACUUUUCCCAAGAUCUUAGCCACCGGCAGACAAGGAGAUUCUCUCCCGUGCCUGGCUCGGCGGGUUCCACACCCACGGAGCCUUGCUCACUGCUAGUGCAGCAGUCUGAGAUCGAACUGCGAGGCGGCAGCCUGGCUGGGGGAGGGGCGUCCGCUGUUGCUGAGGCUUGAGUAGGUAAACAAACCAGCUGGGAAGUUCGAACUGGGCAGAGCCCACUGCAGCUCAGUAAGGCCUACUGCCUCUAGACUCCAUCUCUGUGGCCAGGGCAUAGCUGAACAAAAGGCAGCAGACAACUUUUGCAGACUUAAAGGUCCCUGUCUGACAGCUCUGAAGAGAGCAUUGGUUCUCUCAGCAUGGUGUUUGAGCUCUGAGAACGGACAGACUGCCUCCUCAAGUGGGUCCCUGACCCCCAUGUAGCCUAACUAGGAGAUACCUCCCAGGAGGGGCCGACAGACACCUCAUAUAGGCACCUGCCUCUCUGGGACGAAGCUUCCAGAGGAAGGAUCAGGAAGUAGUAUUUGCUGUUCUGCAAUAUUUGCUGUUCUGCAGCCUCUGCUGGUGAUACCCACGAAAACAGGGUCUGGGGUGGACCUCCAGCAAACUCCAACCGACCUGCAGCUGAGGUACCUGACAGUUAGAAGGAAAACUGAAAAACAGAAAGGAAUAGCAUCAACAUCACCAAAAAGGUCAUCUACACCAAAACCCCAUCUGUAGGUCACCAACAUCAAAGACCAAAGGUAGAUAAAACCACAAAGAUGGGGAGAAACCAGAGCAGAAAAGCUGAAAAUUCUAAAAAUCAGAGUGCCUCUUCUCCUCCAAAGGAUCAAACUCCUCGCCAGCAAAGAAACAAGGCUGGAUGGAGAAUGACUUUGACGAGUUGACAGAAGUAGGCUUCAGAAGGUUGGUAAAAACAAACUUCUCCAAGCUAAAGGAGGAUGUUUGAACCCAUCGCAAGGAAGUAAAACCCUUGAAAAAAGAUUAGACGAAUGGCUAACUGGAAUAAACAGUGUAGAGAAUGCCUUAAAUGACCUGAUGGAGCUGAAAACCAUGGCACAAGAACUUCGUGACGCAUGCACAACCUUCAAUAGCCGAUUCGAUCAAGUGGAAGAAAGGGUAUCAGUGAUUGAAGAUCAAAUUAAUGAAAUAAAGCAAUAAGACAAGGUUACAGAAAAAAGAGUAAAAAGACAUGAACAAAGCCUCCAAGACAAAUGGGACUAUGUGAAAAGACCAAAUCUAUGUUUGAUUGGUGUACCUGAAAGUGAUGGGGAGAAUGGAACCAACUUGGAAAACACUCUUCAGGAUAUUAUCCAGGAGAACUUCCCCAACCUAGCAAGGCAGGCCAACAUUCAAAUUCAGAAAAUACAGAGAACACCACAAAGAUACUCCUUGAGAAGAGCAACCCCAAGACACAUAAUUGUCAGAUUCACCAAGGUUGAAAUGAAGGAAAAAGUGUUAAGGGCAGCCAAAGAGAAAGGUUGAGUUACCCACAAAGGGACGCCCAUCAGACUAACAGCGGAUCUCUCUGCAGAAACCCUACAAGAAGAGAGUGGGGGCCAAUAUUCAACAUUCUUAAAGAAUUUUCAACCCAGAAUUUCAUAUCUAGCCAAACUAAGCUUCAUAAGUAAAGGAAAAAUAAAAUCCUUUACAGACAAGCAAAUGCUGAGAGAUUUUGUCACCACCAGGCCUGCCUUACGAGAGCUCCUAAAGGAAGCACUAAACAUGGAAAGGAACAACUGGUACCAGCCACUGCAAAAACAUGCCAAAUUGUAAAGACCAUCGAUGCUAUGAAGAAACUGCAUGAAUUAAUGGGCAAAAUAACCAGUGAACAUCAUAAUGACAGGAUCAAAUUCACACAUAACGAUAUUAACCUUAAAUGUAAAUGGGCUAAAUGCCCCAAUUAAAAGACACAGACUGGCAAAUUGGAUAAAGAGUCAAGACCCAUCAAUGUGCUGUAUUCAGGAGACCCAGCUCAUGUGCAAAGACACACAUAGACUAAAAUAAAGGGAUGGAGGAAGAUAUACCAAGCAAAUGGAAAGCA